UUAAGCGACUAAGCGUACACGGUGGAUGCCCUGGCAGUCAGAGGCGAUGAAGGACGUGCUAAUCUGCGAAAAGCGUCGGUAAGGUGAUAUGAACCGUUAUAACCGGCGAUGUCCGAAUGGGGAAACCCAGUGUGAUUCGUCACACUAUCGUUAACUGAAUACAUAGGUUAACGAGGCGAACCGGGGGAACUGAAACAUCUAAGUACCCCGAGGAAAAGAAAUCAACCGAGAUUCCCCCAGUAGCGGCGAGCGAACGGGGAGCAGCCCAGAGUCUGAAUCAGCUUGUGUGUUAGUGGAACGGUCUGGAAAGUCCGACGGUACAGGGUGAUAGUCCCGUACACCAAAAUGCACAGGCUGUGAACUCGAAGAGUAGGGCGGGACACGUGGUAUCCUGUCUGAAUAUGGGGGGACCAUCCUCCAAGGCUAAAUACUCCUGACUGACCGAUAGUGAACCAGUACCGUGAGGGAAAGGCGAAAAGAACCCCGGCGAGGGGAGUGAAAAAGAACCUGAAACCGUGUACGUACAAGCAGUGGGAGCACCUUCGGGUGUGACUGCGUACCUUUUGUAUAAUGGGUCAGCGACUUAUAUUCUGUAGCAAGGUUAACCGUAUAGGGGAGCCGCAGGGAAACCGAGUCUUAACUGGGCGUUAAGUUGCAGGGUAUAGACCCGAAACCCGGUGAUCUAGCCAUGGGCAGGUUGAAGGUUGGGUAACACUAACUGGAGGACCGAACCGACUAAUGUUGAAAAAUUAGCGGAUGACUUGUGGCUGGGGGUGAAAGGCCAAUCAAACCGGGAGAUAGCUGGUUCUCCCCGAAAGCUAUUUAGGUAGCGCCUCGUGAAUUCAUCUUCGGGGGUAGAGCACUGUUUCGGCUAGGGGGUCAUCCCGACUUACCAACCCGAUGCAAACUACGAAUACCGAAGAAUGUUAUCACGGGAGACACACGGCGGGUGCUAACGUCCGUCGUGAAGAGGGAAACAACCCAGACCGCCAGCUAAGGUCCCAAAGUCAUGGUUAAGUGGGAAACGAUGUGGGAAGGCACAGACAGCCAGGAUGUUGGCUUAGAAGCAGCCAUCAUUUAAAGAAAGCGUAAUAGCUCACUGGUCGAGUCGGCCUGCGCGGAAGAUGUAACGGGGCUAAACCAUGCACCGAAGCUGCGGCAGCGACACUAUGUGUUGUUGGGUAGGGGAGCGUUCUGUAAGCCUGCGAAGGUGACCUGUGAGGGUUGCUGGAGGUAUCAGAAGUGCGAAUGCUGACAUAAGUAACGAUAAAGCGGGUGAAAAGCCCGCUCGCCGGAAGACCAAGGGUUCCUGUCCAACGUUAAUCGGGGCAGGGUGAGUCGACCCCUAAGGCGAGGCCGAAAGGCGUAGUCGAUGGGAAACAGGUUAAUAUUCCUGUACUUGGUGUUACUGCGAAGGGGGGACGGAGAAGGCUAUGUUAGCCGGGCGACGGUUGUCCCGGUUUAAGCAUGUAGGCUGGUUAUCCAGGCAAAUCCGGAUAAUCAAGGCUGAGGUGUGAUGACGAGGCACUACGGUGCUGAAGUAACAAAUGCCCUGCUUCCAGGAAAAGCCUCUAAGCAUCAGGUAACAUUAAAUCGUACCCCAAACCGACACAGGUGGUCAGGUAGAGAAUACCAAGGCGCUUGAGAGAACUCGGGUGAAGGAACUAGGCAAAAUGGUGCCGUAACUUCGGGAGAAGGCACGCUGGUGUGUAGGUGAAGCCCCUGCGGGUGGAGCUGAGACCAGUCGAAGAUACCAGCUGGCUGCAACUGUUUAUUAAAAACACAGCACUGUGCAAACACGAAAGUGGACGUAUACGGUGUGACGCCUGCCCGGUGCCGGAAGGUUAAUUGAUGGGGUUAUCCGUAAGGAGAAGCUCUUGAUCGAAGCCCCGGUAAACGGCGGCCGUAACUAUAACGGUCCUAAGGUAGCGAAAUUCCUUGUCGGGUAAGUUCCGACCUGCACGAAUGGCGUAAUGAUGGCCAGGCUGUCUCCACCCGAGACUCAGUGAAAUUGAACUCGCUGUGAAGAUGCAGUGUACCCGCGGCAAGACGGAAAGACCCCGUGAACCUUUACUAUAGCUUGACACUGAACAUUGAGCCUUGAUGUGUAGGAUAGGUGGGAGGCUUUGAAGCGUGGACGCCAGUCUGCGUGGAGCCAACCUUGAAAUACCACCCUUUAAUGUUUGAUGUUCUAACGUUGGCCCCUGACCGGGGUUGCGGACAGUGUCUGGUGGGUAGUUUGACUGGGGCGGUCUCCUCCCAAAGCGUAACGGAGGAGCACGAAGGUUAGCUAAUCCUGGUCGGACAUCAGGAGGUUAGUGCAAUGGCAUAAGCUAGCUUGACUGCGAGCGUGACGGCGCGAGCAGGUGCGAAAGCAGGUCAUAGUGAUCCGGUGGUUCUGAAUGGAAGGGCCAUCGCUCAACGGAUAAAAGGUACUCCGGGGAUAACAGGCUGAUACCGCCCAAGAGUUCAUAUCGACGGCGGUGUUUGGCACCUCGAUGUCGGCUCAUCACAUCCUGGGGCUGAAGUAGGUCCCAAGGGUAUGGCUGUUCGCCAUUUAAAGUGGUACGCGAGCUGGGUUUAGAACGUCGUGAGACAGUUCGGUCCCUAUCUGCCGUGGGCGCUGGAGAAUUGAGGGGGGCUGCUCCUAGUACGAGAGGACCGGAGUGGACGCAUCACUGGUGUUCGGGUUGUCAUGCCAAUGGCACUGCCCGGUAGCUAAAUGCGGAAGAGAUAAGUGCUGAAAGCAUCUAAGCACGAAACUUGCCCCGAGAUGAGUUCUCCCUGAGACUUUAAGUCUCCUGAAGGAACGUUGAAGACGACGACGUUGAUAGGCCGGGUGUGUAAGCGCAGCGAUGCGUUGAGCUAACCGGUACUAAUGAACCGUGAGGCUUAACCU
RNAcentral lists this ribosomal RNA (2899 nucleotides) under Klebsiella pneumoniae. RNAcentral's name for it is "23S ribosomal RNA". It matches the Rfam family "Bacterial large subunit ribosomal RNA". Lineage: Bacteria; Pseudomonadati; Pseudomonadota; Gammaproteobacteria; Enterobacterales; Enterobacteriaceae. The record is from RNAcentral.